RNAcentral lists this transfer RNA (69 nucleotides) under Gregarina niphandrodes. It matches the Rfam family "tRNA". From Rfam's summary of the family: Transfer RNA (tRNA) molecules are approximately 80 nucleotides in length. Their secondary structure includes four short double-helical elements and three loops (D, anti-codon, and T loops). Further hydrogen bonds mediate the characteristic L-shaped molecular structure. tRNAs have two regions of fundamental functional importance: the anti-codon, which is responsible for specific mRNA codon recognition, and the 3' end, to which the tRNAs corresponding amino acid is attached (by aminoacyl-tRNA synthetases). tRNAs cope with the degeneracy of the genetic code in two manners: having more than one tRNA (with a specific anti-codon) for a particular amino acid; and 'wobble' base-pairing, i.e. permitting non-standard base-pairing at the 3rd anti-codon position. Lineage: Eukaryota; Apicomplexa; Conoidasida; Eugregarinorida; Gregarinidae. The record is from Rfam by way of RNAcentral.
GCGUUUGUGGUCUAGUGGUAGAAUGCUUCGUUGUCAUCGAGCGACCCGGGUUCGAUUCCCGGCAAAUCA